Molecule: RNA transcript, 5308 nt
Organism: Enhydra lutris kenyoni (northern sea otter)
Lineage: Eukaryota; Metazoa; Chordata; Mammalia; Carnivora; Mustelidae
Gene: PPRC1
Gene name: peroxisome proliferator-activated receptor gamma, coactivator-related 1
Exons: 13
Source: RefSeq, a predicted model, not a curated record
GUUGUACUUCUCUCUGCCCAGCAAGUCCAGAGGUUUGGUUGGCUUUGAUGGGGCUUCAGCUGAGUCUGAGGUGAUUGGUGGAGCUCCUGGUUUAGAGAGCCUGUCACACAGCUACCCCAGAGGUCCCAUACCUUGCAGCCCUUAUGACCAUCCUGUUUGCCCCAGGUGCUGCUGCACGAGGAGGGGGAUGAUUCUGGUUUUGUCAGUCUGUCUCGGCUUGGCCCCUGCCUGAGGGACAAGGACCUGGAGAUGGAGGAGCUGAUACUGCAGGAUGAGACACUGCUGGGGACCAUGCAGAGCUACAUGGAUGCCUCCCUCAUCUCCCUCAUCGAGGAUUUUGGGAGCCUUGGGGAGAGCAGGUUAUCUCUGGAGGACCAGAAUGAAGUGUCGCUGCUCACAGCUCUGACAGAAAUUUUGGACAAUGCAGAUUCCGAGAACCUGUCUCCGUUUGACAGCAUUCCUGACUCAGAACUGCUUGUGUCACCUCGGGAGGGCUCCUCUCUACACAAGCUGCUCACCCUUUCCCGGACACCCCCGGAACGUGACCUCAUCACCCCGGUUGACCCAUUGGGGCCCAGCACAGGCAGUAGUAGAGUGAGUGGGGUUGAGAUGUCUCUCUCAGAUCCUCCUUGGGACUUCUCUCCACCUUCCUUCUUAGAGACCUCAUCCCCUAAGCUUCCUAGCUGGAGACCCCCAAGAUCAAGAGCCCGCCGGGGCCAGUCGCCUCCUCCCCAGCAGCGUAGUGAUGGGGAAGAAGAGGAGGAGGUGGCCAGCUUCAGCGGCCAGUUGCUUGCUGGGGAGCUCGACAACUCUGUGAGCAGUAUCCCAGACUUCCCUAUGCACCUGGCCUGCCCCGAGGAGGAAGAUAAAACUGCAGCAGCAGAGAUGGCAGUGCAGACAGCUGGUGAUGAGAGUAUCUCCUCCUUGAGUGAGCUGGUGCGGGCCAUGCAUCCAUACUGCCUGCCCAGUCUCACUCAGCUGACAUCACUCGAGGAUGAGCUUCAGGAGCAGCCGGAUGAUUUGACACUGCCUGAGGACUGUGUGGUGCUAGAGAUUGUGGGCCAGGCAGCCACAGCUGGUAAUGACCUGGAGAUUCCAGUUGUGGUACGGCAGAUCCCUGCUGGGCCCCAGCCUGUGCUCCUGGAUGACUCGCUAGAGGCCAGUCCAGCUUUGAAGCUUCUCAUGCCUACGCUAGAGUCGGAGACAGAGGCUCCUGUGCUCAAGGAAGACCUCUGCCCUGAGAAAGAGGGGUUGUCAGUGGACUCCGAGGAAAAACUGGAGUCAGUCUGCUUGUUGGACCCCAGGGAGGUCAUGGAGCCAGUGAUGCCCAAGGGGCCUCAGAACCCACUGGCCAACACAAUGCUGAGCUCCCAGAGAGCUCGAAAGGGCAGGAAGAAGAAGAGCAAAGAGCAGCCAGCAGCCUGUGCAGAAGGCUAUGCCAGGAGACUGAGGUCAGCUUCUCGUGGGCAGUCUACCAUGGCUACAGAGGUGACCUCUCAGGCAGGAAACUUGCCUCAGGAGGAACUUCCAAGAGAGGUUGGGCCUCCUCGUAGUAGAGGGAAGCCCCGGGCUUGGGCUCGGGCCUGGGCAGCUGCCUUGGAGAAACCUAGCUCUGGGAACUUGGAGAGUAGUGCUGGGCAAGCUAGUCCUGACAAAGAAGAUCCUCUAGACCUUUACUCCAAUCUGGUUGACAGCAUCCAAGCCAACCUUGUUCCAACCCAUGUCUCUGGUCUAACAGACUCCAUGCCACUUGACUCUGUUGAAACCAAUCCUACUGCAGUUAAUCCUGUUCUAGCUGAUCCUGUACCUGUUGAUCCUGCAUUGGGUGACCAUGAUUCAGCAAACUCAGAGCUGGUGGACCCUCUCACAGCUGACCCAGUGCUGAUUGACCCAGUCUUGGCUGACUCAACAGAAAUUGACUCUACAGUGGUUGUUCCCAUCUCAGAUGACUUGCCACCAGGUGACCCUGUCCCAGUGAGCUCGGCACCAGUUGACUCUGUUCCCAGUGACCUGGGUCCAGUUGAUUCUGUGCUAGUUAAGUCUAGGCCUUCUGAUCCCAGACGUGGUGCCAUGUCAUCAGUCCAGGGGAGUCCAGCUCCCCAGAUCCUUCCAGAGUCAGAGUCCUUGGACUCCCUAAAGGCCAUCAUCCCUGAAGUCCAGGAGGUUGUGGGUCCUCUGAAGGUAGAAAGUGGUACCAGUGCUACAACCCAGGAAGCCAGACCUCGGCCUCUUAGCCUAUCAGAGUACCGGCGACGAAGGCAGCAGCGCCAAGCAGAGGCAGAAGAGAGAAGUCCCCAGCCCCCAGCUGGGAAGUGGCCCAGUCUCCCAGAGACCCCCACAGGACUAGCAGACAUCCCUUGUCUUGUCAUCCCACCAGCCCCAUCCAAGAAGAUAGGUCUGCAGAGAAGCCCUGAGGUUUCUCCUGAGGCUUGCUCUGUGCCUGUGGGUCACAGUCCUGCUUCUCCUGGUCCUGAACCACCUGCAAGCAAAGCUAUGGCCUCAACUCCCACAGAGCAGCUGCCAUCCCAAGAGCUGCCACUACCAGCAAGACCCCCACCUCCUACUGUGCAGCCCAUGCCUCCCACAAUGCCCACUGCUUUGCCUUUCCCCCCAGGUGGGCUAGGCAUGACCCCCAUGCUGCCCCUUCCUACAAGCAGGCAAGGGAUCCCCAGUCUGCCCCCACCACCGUUGCAGCCUCCCAGUCUUCCAGUGUCUAUGGGCCCAGUGCCACGUGAUCCCUAUACUCACUAUGCUCCUGUACCACCUUGGCCUUGUUAUCCCCCUGUGUCCCCUUCUGGCUAUCCUUGUCUGCCCCCCCCACCAACAGUGCCCCUAGUAUCUGGUACUCCUGGCACCUAUGCUGUGCCCCCCACUUGCAAUGUGCCUUGGGUACCCCCUCCAGCCCCAAUCCCACCUUACAGCUCCAGCUGUGCCUAUGGGCCCUUGGGAUGGGGCCCAGGGCUGCAACACCCUCCAUUCUGGCCUACUGUGCCACCACCUCCUUUGCCUCUAGCAUCUGUUGGGAGAGCUGCUCCUCCACCCAAGGUGGAGCCCAGUGGCAUUCCAGCUGGCCCUUCUGAAAGUGUACUUCCUGGGCCAGUGGCUCCUCCCCUCAGUCUUGGGUCAGCUAGCCAGGGAGCUCCACAGGUGGAGCCCACCAAGGUGGAGGUCAAAUCAGUGCCUGCGUCUCCCCAUCUGAAACACAAGGUGUCCUCCCCAGUACAAAGCCCCCAGAUGAAGGCUCCACCAUGUCUGUCUGCUGAGAGUGUGGCUGUUGAGGAGCCUGUAUCAGAGAGGCUAAAUCCUGAGACCCAGGAGACCAGGCCCAGAGAGAAGCCCCCCUCUCCUGUUGCCAAGGCUGUUCCCACACCCACACCAACAUCAAAGCAGAGCACUGUAACUAAGCUGCCUGCUGUCCACCCAGCCCGUCUAAGGAAGCUCUCCUUCUUGCCUACCCCACGUACUCAAGGCCCUGAGGAUGUGGUACAGGCUUUCAUCAGUGAGAUUGGAAUUGAGGCGUCGGACCUGUCCAGUCUACUGGAGCAGUUCGAGAAAUCUGAAGCCAAAAAGGAAUGCCCUCCCCCGGCUCCUGCUGACAGCCUGGCUAUAGGAAACUCAGGCAGCGUUGACACUCCCCAGGAGAAGAGGCCCCUAGACCGGUUACAAGCCCCAGAACUGGCCAACGUGGCAGGGCUCACCCCACCAGCUACCCCUCCCCACCAAUUAUGGAAGCCCCUGGCUGCUGUCUCACUGCUGGCCAAAGCCAGAUCUCCUAAGUCUACCGCCCAGGAGGGAACCCUGAAGCCUGAAGGAGUUACAGAGGCCAAACAUCCAGCUGCAGCCCGCCUCCAAGAAGGGGUCCAUGGCCCUAGUCCAGUCCAUGUGGGCUCUGGGGACCAUGAUUAUUGUGUCCGGAGCAGGACUCCCCCCAAAAAGAUGCCUGCCUUAGUCAUUCCAGAGGUGGGCUCCCGAUGGAACGUCAAACGCCAUCAGGACAUCACCAUCAAACCUGUCUUGUCUCUGGGCCCAGUCAUCCCCCUCCCCCCACGCACAGCUGCCUCACAGGAGCCACUUGAUCACAGGACUAGCAGUGAGCAGGCAGAUCCCCCAGCUCCUUGCCUCGCCCCAUCUGCCUUGCUGUCCCCUGAGGCCUCGCCUUGCCGGAAUGACAUGAACACUAGGACUCCCCUCGAGCCCUCAGCCAAGCAGCGGUCAGUGCGCUGUUACCGGAAAGCCUGCAGGUCAGCCAGCCCCCCAAGCCGGGGCUGGCAGGGCUGUCGGGGCCGCAGCAGCCGUUCUGUCAGCUCUGGGUCCAACCGGACCAGCGAAGCAUCUUCCUCUUCAUCUUCAUCGUCGUCUUCCUCAUCCCGGUCCCGGUCCAGGUCCCUCUCCCCCCCACACAAGAGGUGGCGAAGAUCCAGUUGCAGUUCCUCUGGACGUUCCCGAAGAUGCUCUUCUUCCUCCUCCUCUUCAUCUUCCUCCUCAUCUUCAUCUUCCUCAUCCAGUUCCAGAAGCCGGUCCCGCUCCCCAUCACCCCGACGGAGAAGUGACAGGAGGCGGCGGUGAGUACGGCUCUUACCGUUCACAUGACCAUUACCAAAGGCAGAGAGUGCUGCAGAAGGAGCGUGCAAUAGAGGAGAGAAGAGUGGUCUUCAUUGGGAAGAUACCUGGCCGCAUGACUAGGUCAGAACUGAAACAGAGGUUCUCUGUUUUCGGAGAGAUUGAGGAGUGCACUAUCCACUUCCGUGUCCAAGGUGACAACUACGGCUUCGUCACUUACCGCUAUGCUGAGGAGGCAUUUGCAGCCAUUGAGAGUGGCCACAAGCUGAGGCAGGCAGAUGAACAACCCUUUGAUCUCUGCUUUGGGGGCCGCAGGCAGUUCUGCAAGAGAAGCUAUUCUGAUCUUGACUCCAACUGGGAAGACUUUGACCCUGCUCCUGUAAAGAGCAAAUUUGAUUCUCUUGACUUUGACACAUUGUUGAAACAGGCCCAGAAGAACCUCAGGAGGUAACCCUGGGCCCUUCUCCCCCUUCCCUUUUUCUUUGGAGGUGUCCAACCUCCUCCACCCCCCCUCCCCCACUUUAGGGGAGAGAGCUGCUAGUGAGGAAAUGACUGUUUUAUAAAGAAAUGGAAAAAAGUGAAAUAAAAAAUGUGUUAAAUCAGAUUUUUUUAAAGGGUUAUUCAUUUUUUAUAACAGGCAUUGAAAUAAGUUAACUUGCAUUCCUAUGUUCUGAUGGGGCUGAGGGGUACCCCAGUGUUUGGAAGAUCUAAGUUACUAUGCAGACUAAUAAACAUGAACUAGAGAGAA